MicroRNA precursor from Nicotiana attenuata, 87 nucleotides. It matches the Rfam family "MIR6152 microRNA precursor family". The record is from Rfam. Lineage: Eukaryota; Viridiplantae; Streptophyta; Magnoliopsida; Solanales; Solanaceae.
UGGACAGAGUAUUGUAUUCACGGUGUGAAAUAGGGGAUUACACUGUUUUUAAAACGGAUAGUGAAUCAAUUAACAUAAUAGACUCCA